GGUGAACGCUGGCGGCGUGGAUAAGGCAUGCAAGUCAAACGGUCCUUCGGGACAGUGGCGAACGAGGUAGUAACACGUAGGUACGUACUCCAAAGUCAGGAAUAACCCGUCGAAAGGCGGGCUAAUACUUGAUAGUCCCUUCGGGGUAAAGAUUUAUCGCUUUGGAAACGGCCUGCGGGCUAUCAGCUUGAUGGUAAGGUAAUGGCUUACCAUGGCUAUGACGGCUAGGGGAGGUGAGAGCCUGACCCCCACCGAUGGCACUGAGACACGGGCCAUACACCUACGGGUGGCCGCAGUCGAGAAUCUUCCGCAAUGGGCGAAAGCCUGACGGAGCGACGCCGCGUGGUUGAUGAAGUUCUUCGGGAUGUAAAAACCUUUUAUAGGGGAGGAAAUUUGUGACGUUACCCUAUGAAUAAGGGGCUGCUAAACUCG
RNAcentral lists this ribosomal RNA (432 nucleotides) under uncultured bacterium. RNAcentral describes it as "bacterial SSU rRNA". It matches the Rfam family "Bacterial small subunit ribosomal RNA", at positions 28 to 505 of the family's 1533-position model. The record is from RNAcentral.